GACGAACGCUGGCGGCGUGCUUAACACAUGCAAGUCGAACGGAAAGGCCCCUUUGGGGGUACUCGAGUGGCGAACGGGUGAGUAACACGUGAGUAACCUGCCCUUGACUUCGGGAUAACUUCAGGAAACUGGGGCUAAUACCGGAUAGGAAUCCUUGCUGCAUGGUGGGGGUUGGAAAGCUUCGGCGGUUUUGGAUGGACUCGCGGCUUAUCAGCUUGUUGGUGGGGUAGUGGCUUACAAAGGCUUUGACGGGUAGCCGGCCUGAGAGGGCGACCGGCCACAUUGGGACUGAGAUACGGCCCAGACUCCUACGGGAGGCAGCAGUGGGAAAUAUUGCACAAUGGGCGGAAGCCUGAUGCAGCAACGCCGCGUGCGGGAUGACGGCCUUCGGGUUGUAAACCGCUUUCAGCAGGGGCGAAGCUUGUGGUGACGGUACCUGCAGAAGAAGCACCGGCUAACUACGUG
This 465-nucleotide ribosomal RNA is filed under the name uncultured bacterium. RNAcentral's name for it is "partial 16S ribosomal RNA". It matches the Rfam family "Bacterial small subunit ribosomal RNA", at positions 28 to 507 of the family's 1533-position model. The record is from RNAcentral.